AUGCAGUCGGACGGCAGCACAGAGAAGCUUGCUUCUCGGGUGGCGAGUGGCGAACGGGUGAGUAACAUAUCGGAACGUACCGAGUAGUGGGGGAUAACUGAUCGAAAGAUCAGCUAAUACCGCAUACGUCUUGAGAGAGAAAGCAGGGGACCUUUGGGCCUUGCGCUAUUCGAGCGGCCGAUAUCUGAUUAGCUGGUUGGUGGGGUAAAGGCCUACCAAGGCGACGAUCAGUAGCGGGUCUGAGAGGAUGAUCCGCCACACUGGGACUGAGACACGGCCCAGACUCCUACGGGAGGCAGCAGUGGGGAAUUUUGGACAAUGGGCGCAAGCCUGAUCCAGCCAUGCCGCGUGUCUGAAGAAGGCCUUCGGGUUGUAAAGGACUUUUGUCAGGGAAGAAAAGGCUGUUGCUAAUACCAGCGGCUGAUGACGGUACCUGAAGAAUAAGCACCGGCUAACUACGUGCCAGCAGCCGCGGUAAUACGUAGGGUGCGAGCGUUAAUCGGAAUUACUGGGCGUAAAGCGGGCGCAGACGGUUACUUAAGCAGGAUGUGAAAUCCCCGGGCUCAACCCGGGAACUGCGUUCUGAACUGGGUGACUCGAGUGUGUCAGAGGGAGGUAGAAUUCCACGUGUAGCAGUGAAAUGCGUAGAGAUGUGGAGGAAUACCGAUGGCGAAGGCAGCCUCCUGGGACAACACUGACGUUCAUGCCCGAAAGCGUGGGUAGCAAACAGGAUUAGAUACCCUGGUAGUCCACGCCCUAAACGAUGUCAAUUAGCUGUUGGGCAACCUGAUUGCUUGGUAGCGUAGCUAACGCGUGAAAUUGACCGCCUGGGGA
RNAcentral lists this ribosomal RNA (834 nucleotides) under Neisseria meningitidis. Its description in RNAcentral is "bacterial SSU rRNA". It matches the Rfam family "Bacterial small subunit ribosomal RNA", at positions 55 to 879 of the family's 1533-position model. Lineage: Bacteria; Pseudomonadati; Pseudomonadota; Betaproteobacteria; Neisseriales; Neisseriaceae. The record is from RNAcentral.